UUUUUCUGAUGACAAACCAAUAGACAAGCAUAUACCUGAAUUCACGUGUGUUGCUAACAUUUUUGACUGAAC
Molecule: small nucleolar RNA, 72 nt
Organism: Drosophila melanogaster (fruit fly)
Lineage: Eukaryota; Metazoa; Arthropoda; Insecta; Diptera; Drosophilidae
Source: Ensembl